ACCGAUUUUGAUAUCAGUCGAUGGAAAGCAUUACGAUAUUGGGGGUUCAUGAUGAAGUAAAUCAAUGGGUUCACCGACGCACUGAAUAAAACCAGCCAUAAAGAUAAAAUGUAAACAUUACCAACUGAUCAAAGUAUUACUUCUUAACGUGUAUGGAUGCUAAAUAUACUCUGUUUACCUUUUGGAUUAUCGUGAAGCUUGAUUUAAUUAAAUAAUCGAAAAGAAGGAAAAGAUUUGUUCCCAUGUCAAACAAGGAAAAUAAAUGUAAAUUAUCUUUCAUAAUGA
Tetranychus urticae (two-spotted spider mite) is the source of this 285-nucleotide non-coding RNA. NCBI's taxonomy places the organism in Eukaryota, Metazoa, Arthropoda, Arachnida, Trombidiformes, Tetranychidae. The record is from RefSeq and is a predicted model, not a curated record.